CCCCUCUCAAAAUUGCACCUGGAGAGUUUCCAGUACACUACCAGUCUCAGCUCUGGGAGGGAGAGUCAAGAAGAUGCAUACCCAUUCCAUUCCUAGCUCAGGCAGUGGCUAGUGAUUGGAAGGCAAUCUGCUACAAGU
Molecule: small nucleolar RNA, 138 nt
Organism: Tachyglossus aculeatus (Australian echidna)
Lineage: Eukaryota; Metazoa; Chordata; Mammalia; Monotremata; Tachyglossidae
Source: RefSeq, a predicted model, not a curated record